This 459-nucleotide ribosomal RNA is filed under the name uncultured bacterium. Its description in RNAcentral is "partial 16S ribosomal RNA". It matches the Rfam family "Bacterial small subunit ribosomal RNA", at positions 338 to 795 of the family's 1533-position model. The record is from RNAcentral.
CCUACGGGUGGCAGCAGUGAGGAAUAUUGGUCAAUGGGCGGAAGCCUGAACCAGCCAAGUAGCGUGCGGGAUGAAGGCCCUACGGGUCGUAAACCUCUUUUGCACGGGGAUAACACCCUCCACGUGUGGCUGUCUGCAGGUACCGUGCGAAUAAGGGUCGGCUAAUUCCGUGCCAGCAGCCGCGGUAAUACGGAAGGUCCGAGCGUUAUCCGGAUUUAUUGGGGUUAAAGGGUGCGUAGGCGGGCGUUUAAGUCAGCGGUAAAAUCGCGCGGCUCAACCGCGCCCCGCAGUUGAAACUGGACGCCUUGAGUUCACAAGAGGCAGGAGGAAUUCGUGGUGUAGCGGUGAAAUGCAUAGAUAUCACGAAGAACCCCGAUUGCGAAGGCAGCCUGCCGGCGUGCGACUGACGCUGAGGCACGAAGGUGCGGGUAUCAAACAGGAUUAGAUACCCGGGUAGUC